RNAcentral lists this ribosomal RNA (441 nucleotides) under uncultured Clostridium sp. RNAcentral describes it as "bacterial SSU rRNA". It matches the Rfam family "Bacterial small subunit ribosomal RNA", at positions 335 to 793 of the family's 1533-position model. The record is from RNAcentral. Lineage: Bacteria; Bacillati; Bacillota; Clostridia; Eubacteriales; Clostridiaceae.
ACUCCUACGGGAGGCAGCAGUGGGGAAUCUUGCACAAUGGAGGAAACUCUGAUGCAGCGACGCCGCGUGAGCGAUGAAGCCCUUCGGGGUGUAAAGCUCUUUCGACGGGAACGAUAAUGACGGUACCCGAAGAAGAAGCUGCGGCUAACUACGUGCCAGCAGCCGCGGUAAUACGUAGGCAGCAAGCGUUGUUCGGAAUUACUGGGCGUAAAGAGUGUGUAGGCGGUGCUCCAAGUCUGGUGUGAAAUCUCCCGGCUUAACUGGGAGGGUGCAUUAGAAACUGGAAUGCUAGAGGAUGGGAGAGGUAAGCGGAAUUCCUGGUGUAGCGGUGAAAUGCGUAGAUAUCAGGAGGAACACCUGUGGUGUAGACAGCUUACUGGACCAUUUCUGACGCUGAGACACGAAAGCGUGGGUAGCAAACAGGAUUAGAUACCCUGGUAG